GCUGUUAAUAAUACUCCCUCAAUUGAAAUUGAUGAAGAGACCAGCAAAUUGAGGCUCAGAUCUGUGUUAAGCUCGAGCAAAAAGAGAGUCCAACCACGCCAUGGCUGCAAAAAAAAGUAUGCCCCGCCAAGUUACGGAUCAGAUAACCUCAAAUGCUCAAUUAAUCAGCUCAAAAGGGAAUAAAAAGGGACAAAAAUCAUCAUCGCCUCUAUAAAGACACCAAUUAUAAUCACCCCCACCGGCAACACUGAAUGCUCAGGCAUAAGCAUAAGUAUAAAGAAAUAAAAAGGGAAAAAGAGUUGAAAGGCCAUAGAAACCCAUUUCAAACAAAGCUGAUAAUUGUAUAUUUCCUCUGUUCAAAAUUGAUAAGAAAAAGGUUGUUGGAAUUCUUAGAUAAAUGGAGAAAUCAUCGGCUGAUGUAGAGAGUGGCAACCACCCUUUCAAUGAGAA
This 450-nucleotide unclassified non-coding RNA is filed under the name Hevea brasiliensis (rubber tree). Lineage: Eukaryota; Viridiplantae; Streptophyta; Magnoliopsida; Malpighiales; Euphorbiaceae. The record is from RNAcentral.